CGGCUGAGUAACGCGUGGGUGACGUACCUAUCGAUGGGGAAUAACUGCCCGAAAGGGUGGCUAAUACCGCAUACGCCCGCUUCUGCGUUGGAGUGGGGAAAGUUUUGUGAGAGACGUCGAUGGAGCGGCCCGCGUCCGAUUAGCUGGUUGGUGGGGUAACGGCCUACCAAGGCGACGAUCGGUAGCUGGUCUCAGAGGAUGAUCAGCCAGACUGGGACUGAGACACGGCCCAG
Molecule: ribosomal RNA, 233 nt
Filed under: uncultured bacterium
Lineage: Bacteria
Description: partial 16S ribosomal RNA
Rfam family: Bacterial small subunit ribosomal RNA
Source: RNAcentral